This 247-nucleotide long non-coding RNA is filed under the name Mytilus galloprovincialis (Mediterranean mussel). The record is from RNAcentral. Lineage: Eukaryota; Metazoa; Mollusca; Bivalvia; Mytilida; Mytilidae.
CGAGGCUAGGAAACAAGGUGUAUGCGAGCUUUUAGCACGCUAUUACACCUGUUUCGAGUCGAGUACAAAUACAGCUGAUAUUUAAAGACACUAAACAGUUAUUGUCUUUAUCCUGCAAUUAAUUCUGUAUAUUAUUUGUGUUUUGAAAGACACAAAAAACACAUGUUUUGCAUUUAUUUUCUAUUUGAAAUCCCUUGAGGCCCGUGUAGUAAUACGAUACAGUAAUCACACAUUCAGCUGAAGACGG